AACGAACGCUGGCGGCAUGCCUAACACAUGCAAGUCGAACGAGACCUUCGGGUCUAGUGGCGCACGGGUGCGUAACGCGUGAGAACCUGCCCUUAGGUUCGGAAUAACUCCCCGAAAGGGGUGCUAAUACCGGAUAAUGUCUUCGGACCAAAGAUUUAUCGCCUUUGGAUGGGCCCGCGUUGGAUUAGCUAGUUGGUAGGGUAAAAGCCUACCAAGGCGACGAUCCAUAGCUGGUCUGAGAGGAUGAUCAGCCACACUGGGACUGAGACACGGCCCAGACUCCUACGGGAGGCAGCAGUGGGGAAUAUUGGACAAUGGGCGAAAGCCUGAUCCAGCAAUGCCGCGUGAGUGAUGAAGCCCUUAGGGUUGUAAAGCUCUUUUACCCGGGAUGAUAAUGACAGUACCGGGAGAAUAAGCUCCGGCUAACUCCGUG
RNAcentral lists this ribosomal RNA (433 nucleotides) under uncultured bacterium. RNAcentral's name for it is "partial 16S ribosomal RNA". It matches the Rfam family "Bacterial small subunit ribosomal RNA", at positions 29 to 507 of the family's 1533-position model. The record is from RNAcentral.